Molecule: microRNA, 20 nt
Filed under: Corchorus capsularis
Lineage: Eukaryota; Viridiplantae; Streptophyta; Magnoliopsida; Malvales; Malvaceae
Description: sRNA CCACVL1_06184
Source: RNAcentral
GAAAAAAAAAAAAAACAAAC